Molecule: small RNA, 32 nt
Filed under: Bombyx mori (domestic silkworm)
Lineage: Eukaryota; Metazoa; Arthropoda; Insecta; Lepidoptera; Bombycidae
Description: ovarian small RNA-16692
Source: RNAcentral
GCCGAUCUCAUCGAGCGGCAACGCAGCUCGGC